UACGUAGGGGGCUAGCGUUGUCCGGAAUCAUUGGGCGUAAAGAGCGUGUAGGCGGUCCGGUAAGUCUGCUGUGAAAGUCGGGGGCUCAACCCUCGAAAGCCGGUGGAUACUGUCGGGCUAGAGUGCGGAAGAGGCGAGUGGAAUUCCUGGUGUAGCGGUGAAAUGCGCAGAUAUCAGGAGGAACACCAAUUGCGAAGGCAGCUGGCUACACAUAUAUUGACACUGAUGCACGAAAGCGUGGGGAUCAAACAGG
RNAcentral lists this ribosomal RNA (253 nucleotides) under uncultured bacterium. RNAcentral describes it as "partial 16S ribosomal RNA". It matches the Rfam family "Bacterial small subunit ribosomal RNA", at positions 524 to 776 of the family's 1533-position model. The record is from RNAcentral.